This 470-nucleotide long non-coding RNA is filed under the name Nicotiana benthamiana. Its description in RNAcentral is "long non-coding RNA (NBEN_LNC011098)". The record is from RNAcentral. Lineage: Eukaryota; Viridiplantae; Streptophyta; Magnoliopsida; Solanales; Solanaceae.
CUCGUUUCUCAUUUUCAUAAGCACUUUGCAAUGCCGUCCAGAUUUCGCUUGAAGACUUCAAAUUUUGAUACAGAUCAUAGAGACGAUCUGUUAAUGUUUUCAUAAUAUUUCUCCGGCACAACAAUUCAUCAUCUUCCCGUUUCUUACUUGUUGCUUUCACUUCAUCAGAAUCCUCUGCAGUCGGAUCUGGCACAGCAGGAAAUUGUGGAUCGAGAACAUAAAAAAUCUUUAGAGCAGUCAGUAGGAAAAUCAUCUUGUCCUUCCAGUGAGUAAAGUUUGAUCCAUCAAAACGAUCGAGUUUGAUGAAAUUUUUUUGGAUUUUCAACAGCAGACAGAAUGUUUUUCAUAGCAGAUUAACUUCUUUAAGAUUGUUAGAAAUAAUAAUCGAAAAACUAAAUUGAUGAAGGCUUGAGGGAUGAGAACGACUUUCCUUAAAGAAUUUAUUGCCCGUAUACAGAUUUGGGAAAAAU